This 463-nucleotide ribosomal RNA is filed under the name Vreelandella stevensii. RNAcentral describes it as "partial 16S ribosomal RNA". It matches the Rfam family "Bacterial small subunit ribosomal RNA", at positions 338 to 795 of the family's 1533-position model. The record is from RNAcentral. Lineage: Bacteria; Pseudomonadati; Pseudomonadota; Gammaproteobacteria; Oceanospirillales; Halomonadaceae.
CCUACGGGUGGCAGCAGUGGGGAAUAUUGGACAAUGGGCGAAAGCCUGAUCCAGCCAUGCCGCGUGUGUGAAGAAGGCCUUCGGGUUGUAAAGCACUUUCAGUGGGGAAGAAAGCCUUGGGGCUAAUACCCUCGAGGAAGGACAUCACCCACAGAAGAAGCACCGGCUAACUCCGUGCCAGCAGCCCGGUAAUACGGAGGGUGCGAGCGUUAAUCGGAAUUACUGGGCGUAAAGCGCGCGUAGGCGGUCUGAUAAGCCGGUUGUGAAAGCCCCGGGCUCAACCUGGGAACGGCAUCCGGAACUGUCAGGCUAGGGUGCAGGAGAGGAAGGUAGAAUUCCCGGGGUAGCGGUGAAAUGCGUAGAGAUCGGGAGGAAUACCAGUGGCGAAGGCGGCCUUCUGGACUGACACUGACGCUGAGGUGCGAAAGCGUGGGUAGCAAACAGGAUUAGAUACCUGGUAGUC